RNAcentral lists this ribosomal RNA (378 nucleotides) under Klebsiella quasipneumoniae subsp. similipneumoniae. RNAcentral's name for it is "partial 23S ribosomal RNA". It matches the Rfam family "Bacterial large subunit ribosomal RNA", at positions 147 to 563 of the family's 2925-position model. Lineage: Bacteria; Pseudomonadati; Pseudomonadota; Gammaproteobacteria; Enterobacterales; Enterobacteriaceae. The record is from RNAcentral.
ACUAUCGUUAACUGAAUACAUAGGUUAACGAGGCGAACCGGGGGAACUGAAACAUCUAAGUACCCCGAGGAAAAGAAAUCAACCGAGAUUCCCCCAGUAGCGGCGAGCGAACGGGGAGCAGCCCAGAGUCUGAAUCAGCUUGUGUGUUAGUGGAACGGUCUGGAAAGUCCGACGGUACAGGGUGAUAGUCCCGUACACCAAAAUGCACAGGCUGUGAACUCGAAGAGUAGGGCGGGACACGUGGUAUCCUGUCUGAAUAUGGGGGGACCAUCCUCCAAGGCUAAAUACUCCUGACUGACCGAUAGUGAACCAGUACCGUGAGGGAAAGGCGAAAAGAACCCCGGCGAGGGGAGUGAAAAAGAACCUGAAACCGUGUAC